ACGGAAGGCAGCAGUGGGGAAUAUUGGGCAAUGGGCGAAAGCCUGGCCCAGCAAUGCCGCGUGAAGGAAGAAGGUCUUCGGAUUGUAAACUUCUUUUAUGAGGGACGAAGGAUUUGACGGUACCUCAUGAAUAAGCCACGGCUAACUACGUGCCAGCAGCCGCGGUAAUACGUAGGUGGCAAGCGUUAUCCGGAUUUACUGGGUGUAAAGGGCGCGUAGGCGGGGAAGCAAGUCAGAUGUGAAAUCUAUGGGCUUAACUCAUAAACUGCAUUUGAAACUGUUUCUCUUGAGUGCUGGAGAGGUAGAUGGAAUUCCUAGUGUAGCGGUGAAAUGCGUAGAUAUUAGGAAGAACACCAGUGGCGAAGGCGAUCUACUGGACAGUAACUGACGCUGAGGCGCGAAAGCGUGGGGAGCAAACAGGAUUAGAUACCCUGGUA
RNAcentral lists this ribosomal RNA (437 nucleotides) under uncultured Oscillospiraceae bacterium. RNAcentral describes it as "partial 16S ribosomal RNA". It matches the Rfam family "Bacterial small subunit ribosomal RNA", at positions 341 to 792 of the family's 1533-position model. The record is from RNAcentral. Lineage: Bacteria; Bacillati; Bacillota; Clostridia; Eubacteriales; Oscillospiraceae.